UAGUCCACGCCGUAAACGAUGUCUACUAGCCGUUGGGAGACUUGAUUUCUUGGUGGCGCAGUUAACGCGAUAAGUAGACCGCCUGGGGAGUACGGCCGCAAGGUUAAAACUCAAAUGAAUUGACGGGGCCCGCACAAGCGGUGGAGCAUGUGGUUUAAUUCGAUGCAACGCGAAGAACCUUACCAGGCCUUGACAUCCUAGGAAUCCUGUAGAGAUACGGGAGUGCCUUCGGGAAUCUAGUGACAGGUGCUGCAUGGCUGUCGUCAGCUCGUGUCGUGAGAUGUUGGGUUAAGUCCCGUAACGAGCGCAACCCUUGUCCUUAGUUGCCAGCACGUCAUGGUGGGAACUCUAAGGAGACUGCCGGUGACAAACCGGGNGGAAGGUGGGGACGACGUCAAGUCAUCAUGCCCCUUAGUUCUGGGGCUACACACGUACUACAAUGCAACGGGACAGAGGGGCAGCCAACUAGCGAUAGUGAGCUAAUCCCAUAAACCGUU
RNAcentral lists this ribosomal RNA (497 nucleotides) under uncultured bacterium. RNAcentral describes it as "bacterial SSU rRNA". It matches the Rfam family "Bacterial small subunit ribosomal RNA", at positions 791 to 1285 of the family's 1533-position model. The record is from RNAcentral.